UACGGGAGGCAGCAGGGGGAAUAUUGCACAAUGGGCGAAAGCCUGAUGCAGCUAUGCCGCGUGUAUGAAGAAGGCCUUAGGGUUGUAAAGUACUUUCAUCGGGGAGGAAAAACAAAACUAAUAAUUUUAUUUCUUGACGUUACCCGAAAAAGAAGCACCGGCUAACUCCGUGCCAGCAGCCGCGGUAAUACGGAGGGUGCUAGCGUUAAUCAGAAUUACUGGGCGUAAAGAGCACGUAGGUGGUUUUUUUAAGUCAGAUGUGAAAUCCCUGGGCUUAACCUAGGAACUGCAUUUUGAAACUGAAAUACUAGAGUAUCGUAGAGGGAGGUAGAAUUCUAGGUGUAGCGGUGAAAUGCGUAGAUAUCUGGAGGAAUACCUGUGGCGAAAGCGGCCUCCUAAACGAAUACUGACACUGAGGUGCGAAAGCGUGGGGAGCAAACGAGGAUUAGACUACC
Molecule: ribosomal RNA, 455 nt
Filed under: uncultured bacterium
Lineage: Bacteria
Description: bacterial SSU rRNA
Rfam family: Bacterial small subunit ribosomal RNA
Source: RNAcentral